This is a long non-coding RNA of Triticum urartu, 1390 nucleotides long. RefSeq lists it as uncharacterized. Lineage: Eukaryota; Viridiplantae; Streptophyta; Magnoliopsida; Poales; Poaceae. The record is from RefSeq and is a predicted model, not a curated record.
UCUGCAGCGAAGUCACCACACGCGCGAGCCAAAUCCCUAGUUUCCCCUUCCUCAUUCCCCACGCCAGCCGCCCUGGGCUCCCGCCGCCCUGGGCUCCCGCCGCCGGCCUCUCCGUCGCGCCCCCGCACCUCCCUGCCGCUCCCGCACCUGCUGGCCUGCCGUCCCACGCCGCCUUCCCCCACGCCUGAACCUUCCUCCGACCAGGUGCUCUCUCUGCUCGAACCCUCGUCGUCACGGGGGGCGUCGGGCAGAUCUCGGGGAAGAUGGGGCUCAACCUGCUGCAGAGGAGCGAUGCCUUGUACUGGAAGACCAUGCUGGCUGUGGCGAAGCACUCCCUGAAGGUGUUGCUGCUCGUGAUGUCCAAUCCCAUCUCCGUUUCCACCUACCUCUCCUAGAAGCUUUCAGGGUUGGGUUCCUGGCGAGCGGCGUCAUCAGUUCGAGCACCAACCACUUUGUAAUCCACAUGCAGCUUCUAGGUUCAGGCUUUGGGAUGAAGGAACAUAGCACAUCGUUGCUGAAUUUGGAGUUAUACUCAUCAACAAUGGAAGGGGAAACAAGCAGUAAGCAUAGCACAAAGUUGCUAAAUUUGGAGUUAUACCACAUCUCACAUAUAUAGGUCCGUCUUAUUAUGUACGUUCACAUACAUAUGCAUGUGGAAAUCAAGAUAACUCAUAAACUUCAAAGCUAGUGAGGUAAGGGAAGUUUGUAUGUCCCCAUGGUCUGUAGUGAAAGGAUUAGGAUGUCCUUCUAUUGGUUAGUCAAUAGUGAAAUGAUGAUUAUAUCUACUUCUGUUGCAGGUCCAAAUUGCAAAACACUUAUGUUCGUGUAGAUAAACUCAUGAGAUGCUCUCCGGCUAGUUAUGCGGUUAUGCGGGUAAUUGAUGGUUUUGUCAGGUACCAACAGCUGGGACAGCUUUGAGAUGCGGGUGCACAAGAGGGUGAUCGACCUUGUCAGCUCCUUGGACGUUCUCAAGCAGAUCACCAUUGAGAGGUUGAGAUGACCAUUAACAACGAGUCAUGCAGCUGUUGGUGAUGGGCUCUGUUAGGAUGCCCACAUAGGUGCUCAAAAUCACCACCGGGAAGUCCCCCUGUGGCGCAAGGUGACCUGGCAGUGGUGGUGCACCGCCUUGCUUAUGGCGCCAAUGAGAUGACGGGGUUGUUGCCCCGUGACGUCGGCAUCGGCUCCCACGACUCCAUCAUCAGCUACCACUACAUGGGUGAGUCCCUGGUCUCUCCUUCCUCCUCUAUCUGCUCUGGCACAUCUAGCCUUCGAGCUGAGUGAUUUACUGUCAAGUGAUUCUUUUUCAUGUCUGUUCGAAUAUGAUAACAAACACCGAUGUAAAGAUGAAAUAUUUGUCAUGUUAAAUAGGUCGCUGUUACUCAUCCAAAAA